Molecule: ribosomal RNA, 460 nt
Filed under: uncultured bacterium
Lineage: Bacteria
Description: partial 16S ribosomal RNA
Rfam family: Bacterial small subunit ribosomal RNA
Source: RNAcentral
CCUACGGGGGGCAGCAGUGAGGAAUAUUGGUCAAUGGACGAGAGUCAGAACCAGCCAAGUAGCGUGAAGGAUGACUGCCCUAUGGGUUGUAAACUUCUUUUAUAUGGGAAUAAAACGUUCCACGUGUGGGAGUUUGUAUGUACCAUAUGAAUAAGGAUCGGCUAACUCCGUGCCAGCAGCCGCGGGAAUACGGAGGCUCCGAGCGUUAUCCGGAUUUAUGGGGUUUAAAGGGAGCGUAGGGGGAUUGUUAAGUCAGUUGUGAAAGUUUUCGGCUCAACCGUAAAAUUGCAGUUGACACUGGCAGUCGUGAGUACAGUAGAGGUGGGCGGAAUUCGUGGUGUAGCGGUGAAAUGCUUAGAUAUCACGAAGAACUCCGAUUGCGAAGGCAGUUCACUGGACUGCAACUGACACUGAGGCUCGAAAGUGUGGGUAUCAAACAGGAUUAGAUACCCUGGUAGUC